This 406-nucleotide ribosomal RNA is filed under the name uncultured bacterium. RNAcentral describes it as "partial 16S ribosomal RNA". It matches the Rfam family "Bacterial small subunit ribosomal RNA", at positions 30 to 526 of the family's 1533-position model. The record is from RNAcentral.
AUUGAACGCUGGCGGCAUGCUUUACACAUGCACGUCGGACGAGUGGCUAACGGGUGCGUAAUAUCUCGGAACGUACCGAGUAAAGGGGGAUAACUACUCGAAAGAUUAGCUAAUACCGCAUAUUAUUCGAGCGGCCCAUAUCUGAUUAGCUAGUUGGGGGGGUAAAGGCCUACCAAGGCGACGAUCAUUAGCGGGUCUGAGAGGAUGAUCCGCCACACUGGGACUGAGGCACGGCCCAGACACCUACGGGAGGCAGCAGGGGGGAAUAUUGGACAAGGGGCGCAAGCCUGGUGCAGCCAUGCCGCGUGGCUGAAGAAGGCCUUCGGGUUGUAAAGGACUUUUGUCGGGGAAGCGGUACCUGAAGAAUAAGCACCGGCUAACUACGUGCCAGCCGCCGGGGUAAUUC